Molecule: ribosomal RNA, 253 nt
Filed under: uncultured bacterium
Lineage: Bacteria
Description: partial 16S ribosomal RNA
Rfam family: Bacterial small subunit ribosomal RNA
Source: RNAcentral
UACGAAGGGGGCUAGCGUUGCUCGGAAUCACUGGGCGUAAAGGGUGCGUAGGCGGGUCUUUAAGUCAGGGGUGAAAUCCUGGAGCUCAACUCCAGAACUGCCUUUGAUACUGAAGAUCUUGAGUUCUGGAGAGGUGAGUGGAACUGCGAGUGUAGAGGUGAAAUUCGUAGAUAUUCGCAAGAACACCAGUGGCGAAGGCGGCUCACUGGCCCGAUACUGACGCUGAGGCACGAAAGCGUGGGGAGCAAACAGG